AAGAAUCAAUGGACCAUCAGACCCAAACAAUUUGAAAAUAACCAAACAUCAAAAUCACCCAAGUAAGAACAGGAAAUGUUAUGGUCAUAUAACGUAGAAAUCUGAAAAUUGAAUGAUAAGAAUGAUUAUUACAUAAGAAUAUAUAAUCUGGAACUGACAAAAUCAUAUCCAGCAGUACACUCCACUAAACCCACUGAUCAACAUAUUACACAAUCAGAAACAAAAUAAAUUAUCUUGCCAUCAGAUCUCUAGCUUAAGCAAUUGGCGAUCCUAUCCAAAUUAUCCAGGUGUACAUAAGCUCUAGUAAAAUCAGAUCCGACGUUCUAGUUGCACAGUUAGCUUAGCCCCAUAAAAUAAAGAUGAAACAAGCACAACCUUCGUAAAGCCACAAAACAGAAAGUACCAAAUAGUAGGACGGGCACCAAAACGUUUGUUGCAAAUUUCUGCAAACAAGUAGGAAAAGCAGUAAAGGGAUUUAACAUAUACAUUAAAAAAAUUGUGAUAUAAAGUUAGAAAAAUGAGGAGGAUGAGGAAGAAAGAGAAAGCGAGAUUGAACAAUAUCUGGAACUGACGGGUGUCUCAGAAAUAUCGUAUCGGUAUUGCACAUAUAUACAUAUCAUAAGGAGAAUCAAAUCUCAAUCAGAAGAUUCCGAGACAAAUAGGUUGAACAUCCGGUCGUAUAUGGUUGUAUAUGCAUAUCAAAAGGAAGAAACUUUAACAGACACUCUUGCUUAGAAUCAUCAGCCAAAACAUCUUAUACCGACCUUGUCAGAGGAACAGAACAACACAAUUAUGACGAGGAGAGAACAUACUCGUAUUCAAAGCGCUUUCUUCUACAAAGAAUCAUAUUCAAGGUUGAGCGAAAAUCAAAUCAGCCGAUUACCAAACCCUAGCAAGAUAAAACACAAUCCAAACGCAAAAACCACUUGUUGAUGAAUAACCGAACAUCAUACCUAAUACCACGCCGGAUCAAAAUCACCAAAAGAAAACCAAUUCAGAAUCACAAUCAAACGACCGGCGAAGAAUCCACGACGCUCCGAUUGUCAGACCGGCAAAAUAACCCAGAUAAAUCAAAUCAGGACCCUACAAUCAGACGGUAUCGCGAAAGAGAAAAAAAAAACAUGGGACGGAUAAUCGCCGCUGAUUGAAUUGAAUUGCGCAGGUUUCAUAGCGACGAAAAUACAUAUACAAUCUGAAAAACGGAAACGACAAAUAAACAUCCGCAGAGAACCAAAGGCAAUCAAAC
Molecule: long non-coding RNA, 1246 nt
Filed under: Erythranthe guttata (spotted monkey flower)
Lineage: Eukaryota; Viridiplantae; Streptophyta; Magnoliopsida; Lamiales; Phrymaceae
Description: long non-coding RNA (EGUT_LNC003428)
Source: RNAcentral